AGUCCCUAGAGUCCAGGCCAUAGACCUUCUGCUACUGGUCAGCCCAAGGCCAUGGGACAAGCCAUUAUUACAAUGGUCUGAGUCAUUCCCUAGUCUGGCCACAGGAUGGUGCAGGGCCCAAGCACUUGGGCCAUCCUCCACUGCACUCCCGGGCCACAGCAGAGAGCUGGCCUGGAAGAGGAGCAACCGGGACUAGAACCCAGCGCUCAUAUGGGAUGCCAGCGCUGCAGGCGGAAGAUUAACCAAGUGAGCCACGGUGCCGGCCCUGGGCCAUCUUCCACUGCUUUCCAGGCCAUGACAGAGAGCUGGAUCAGAAGAGGAGAAGCCAGGACUCAAACUGGCGCCUAUAUGGGAUACAGGUGGCGGGGACCCAACUACUUGAUCCAUCAACUGCUGCCUCCCAGAUCAUUGGCGGGAAGCUGGAUCAGAAGCGGAGCAGCCAGGACUCGCACCAGGCACUCAGAUAACAAGAGGUGGGCAUCCCGGAGCUGUGUCUCAACCAUUGCCACAAACAGCAUCCCUUUAAGAUUUCUGCUCUGGCACAUCGCAACUGUUGACAGAAGAUAGCGUUCUCCAGGUUCAAGAACACCAGUCUAGGGAGCAAGAUUUUUCAAUGAAUAAAAAUAGAGAAAAAGCUGCUUCCUCAAAGUUCAGAAACUUCACCUGGAAAUGCUCGCUGCAGGUGGAGGCUGAGGAGCCGCCGCGGCUCCCUGACAGCAGCGCCAGCACAGCUUCCUCCCAAGACCCUGAGCUCCACCUGGUUCCAUCAUCGCCCCAAACCGCAGCCCUGGAAGUCAGGCAGGGACACGAUUGCUGAUUAAAUGCUUUUCCACAGUUAAUGAAUAUUUACUGAGUGCAUACUUUGGACAGAUCCUUCUAAGGGUCUCCGUGACAAGUAGGUUAGUGACA
This is a long non-coding RNA of Oryctolagus cuniculus (rabbit), 909 nucleotides long. RefSeq lists it as uncharacterized. Lineage: Eukaryota; Metazoa; Chordata; Mammalia; Lagomorpha; Leporidae. The record is from RefSeq and is a predicted model, not a curated record.